CCCUUAGGAGCGCCGGAGCCAGCGGGAGGCGCUGCUGUGGGAGGUCGCGUUUGUCGGUUGUAGUGAAGCUGGACUAACCAUGUUGAGUUGUGCUUUCAAAGAAUGCGUCUUAUCCUUCGGUGUACAAGGAACUCGAAUAUAUACACUACCGUUAGGCUUUAUAACUUCCCCCUCCCUCCCCCCCCUUCCCCUCCCUCAGGAGCGCCGGGGGUCACGAGCCGGUGCGAGGCGCUGCUGAGAGAAGUUGUAUUUGCUGGUUGUAGUGAAGCCGGAAUAACCUUGUGGAAUUUUAAACUUCUUUUCAGAAGUUCCCUCUAAGCCUUCAGUGUACAAGGAACCUGAGUAUCUAUACUAUCGUUAGUGUUAUAACUUCUCGCACUUCCCGCCGCCCCCCUUAGGCGCUUUCAGGCGCAAAGAAAAACUAAAGAGGGUCGUUGAAAGCCUCAGUUCCCAAGAUGUAUUUCUGUGGCGAUUUGAACAAAACCAGCCCUGUAGUGCUUCCGCUUCUUCCCCGUUCAUUUUUCCCAACUCGCGACCGAGGGGAAGGUGUUUCUAGACCGCAGCGAAAUGAUGACUGUGAAAAUUUUUGCUGCUUCCCAAAGCAAAAUUUUAUGAGCUCCAGUUUUAUCAGUGUUCCAUGCUCUUCCUUCAGCACUUUGUCUAUCUUAUGUGGAGCUGCAGGAGUGCCCAUGAAGGGAACAUUUCUUUGGUGACAUUCCUGCACUUUGGGAGUGUUGAGCUGCAGGUAACAACUUCAAAAUAACACUGUCAGCUACUUGGGGGUAUUUCUUGCCCAAAUAAGUGUCAUAUAUAAAGUCAGUGGCUUAAGACUUCUAGUAUUUAGCUUAAAAUGUUUAGAGACGUUAAGCAAAUUCUUUAUUUGCUUUUUGGCGAUUUGGUGGUCGUAACAGUCCUGUUUCCAUUACAUUUUUGCUCAUAUUUUGGAGCAGCAGUAUAUGCAGUCAUUGAAGAUUGAAAUAAUGCUUAUCUUCCAAAUUAUUUGGCAUUUCUUAAUGUGCAUGAGAAAUGACUUCAUUUCCUACAAUGGAACAGAUCUUGGCAGGUUUGGUGUAUUAGGUAUCUGUAACUAUUGCAUCUUGACUACACUGACAUAGGGCCAAAGACGAUUGUGUUAUUUAAUUAAAUGCAAUAUGUUGGUUAUAACGACAUUAUUAUUUUUCUUGAGUAUUUAAAUGUGUUUUGAAUGUUUUUGUUUUCAGAAAGUAGCAUUCUUUUCAAUACAUGUAAGUGUAAAUAUUUAUUAACAUCUACUGUUUACUCUAAUAUAUAAAGGUAACAACCCAAACACACCCAGCUUCUUAUAUUUUCUGCAAUAAUACUCUGUUUUAUAAUCGUUACCUUAGUUCUCUGGUGGUAUAUGUGGUCAGACUAGAACUACGUUUACUUGAACCUUUAUUGUCUCAUUCUUUGUGUCAGUGUCUGAAGCAAAUUACCCGCUGUUCAAAGAUAUUGAGAGAUGAAUCUUAGCAGCACAAGUUCCCUGAGAUUUCUGCAACAAUUAAAUACUUUGACAACAGUCCAGAUCCCGUGCUCAGAAAUCAGCUCUCUAGAGGCAGUGAAAUGAGAAGGGUCCUUUACCAUAAGUGAGUUUUAAAGGUGGGGAAAUCCAUUCCUGCUAUCUCUUUUUUCCUGUUUUUUUUUCCUCCGUUCAUUCUGAAACCAUGACCUGGUGAAUGUCACUAGGCGUAAUCCACUGAUGCCGUGGGAGGUGGGAACAGGGAGCUGGACAGUUCGGUGGGGCUCAGGACCCCGAGUCGCUCUGGGCUGAGCCCCCGCUGCCGUCAAACUGUGCGAUUUUCUUCUUGAGCAGCUUCCUUUCCUUUGCCGCCGGUUCUGGAACCAUAUCUUCACCUGGGGCAUAGAAACGGUAUUGGAUUAGUGCAAAGGGCUGGGUACCUUUUACAGCAAUUAGAACAGUGAAAAUGGAGAGAAGGUAAAAACACUAGGAAAAAACUCCCAAAACCUGAAGCAAGGAAUGAACAAACACAAAGCCGCAAAACACCCUCCCAUGCACAAAAUUACCCCCCCUCGCCCUGCUAUCAAAAACCCACAAACCUAACCACUGAAUCAUGCAGUGAAAACUUUUGGCUUUCCUCUGUGUUCAUUUUCUGCAUUAUAACCAAUAGAAGAUUACUUUCUGUUCUUGGGCCUGGUGUGAAGGGAACAUGCUGUUUAUAUGUGGGAACACAGGGAUCAACACACUCCUCGAGACUCAGAGACUCCCCGAGUUCAUCAUCCCAGCUUUGCCAGUGGCUGUGUCACACUGUAGAAGAUGCAAUUAGGGAAUAUUUUGACGAUUUCUUUAUUAUCUGUGUUACAGAUAAUCAAAGCCAAGUACUGAGGGUUCUUUUUCUUCACUUAUGUUGUGAGUGAUUUUUGUGUGUGCAUAUAUCUUAUGUGUUUUUUAAAG
Chiroxiphia lanceolata (lance-tailed manakin) is the source of this 2431-nucleotide long non-coding RNA. RefSeq lists it as uncharacterized. The record is from RefSeq and is a predicted model, not a curated record. The transcript is spliced from 5 exons. Lineage: Eukaryota; Metazoa; Chordata; Aves; Passeriformes; Pipridae.